Molecule: ribosomal RNA, 253 nt
Filed under: uncultured bacterium
Lineage: Bacteria
Description: partial 16S ribosomal RNA
Rfam family: Bacterial small subunit ribosomal RNA
Source: RNAcentral
GACGUAGGGGGCGAGCGUUGUCCGGAAUUAUUGGGCGUAAAGCGCGUGUAGGCGGGAUGGCAAGUCGGGUGUGAAAGCCCUCAGCUCAACUGAGGAAGUGCGCCCGAAACUACUGUUCUUGAGUACUGGAGAGGGUGGCGGAAUUCCCGGUGUAGAGGUGAAAUUCGUAGAUAUCGGGAGGAACACCAGUGGCGAAGGCGGCCACCUGGCCAGAUACUGACGCUGAGACGCGAAAGCGUGGGGAGCAAACAGG